GACGAACGCUGGCGGCGUGCUUAACACAUGCAAGUCGAACGGAAAGGCCCUGCUUUUGUGGCGUGCUCGAGUGGCGAACGGGUGAGUAACAUGUGAGUAACCUGCCCUUGACUUUGGGAUAACUUCAGGAAACUGGGGCUAAUACCGGAUAGGAGCUCCUGCUGCAUGGUGGGGGUUGGAAAGUUUCGGCGGUUGGGGAUGGACUCGCGGCUUAUCAGCUUGUUGGUGGGGUAGUGGCUUACCAAGGCUUUGACGGGUAGCCGGCCUGAGAGGGUGACCGGCCACAUUGGGACUGAGAUACGGCCCAGACUCCUACGGGAGGCAGCAGUGGGGAAUAUUGCACAAUGGGCGGAAGCCUGAUGCAGCAACGCCGCGUGCGGGAUGACGGCCUUCGGGUUGUAAACCGCUUUCGCCUGUGACGAAGCGUGAGUGACGGUAAUGGGUAAAGAAGCACCGGCUAACUACGUG
Molecule: ribosomal RNA, 468 nt
Filed under: uncultured bacterium
Lineage: Bacteria
Description: partial 16S ribosomal RNA
Rfam family: Bacterial small subunit ribosomal RNA
Source: RNAcentral